CGGGGCGUGGCGCAGUGGUAGCGCACCUGCUUUGGGAGCAGGGGGUCCCCAGUUCGAGCCUGGGCGCCCCGA
RNAcentral lists this transfer RNA (72 nucleotides) under Candidatus Dormiibacterota bacterium. Its description in RNAcentral is "tRNA-Pro". It matches the Rfam family "tRNA". From Rfam's summary of the family: Transfer RNA (tRNA) molecules are approximately 80 nucleotides in length. Their secondary structure includes four short double-helical elements and three loops (D, anti-codon, and T loops). Lineage: Bacteria; Bacillati; Candidatus Dormiibacterota. The record is from RNAcentral. RNAcentral also lists the same sequence under 1 other name.